GACGAACGCUGGCGGCGCGCCUAACACAUGCAAGUCGAACGGGGAAGUUAGCAAUAACUUUCUGGUGGCGGACGGGUGAGUAACGCGUGGGUAACCUGCCCUGUACACACGGAUAACAUACCGAAAGGUAUGCUAAUACGAGAUAACAUACUUUUAUCGCAUGGUAGAAGUAUCAAAGCUUUUGCGGUACAGGAUGGACCCGCGUCUGAUUAGCUAGUUGGUAAGGUAACGGCUUACCAAGGCGACGAUCAGUAGCCGACCUGAGAGGGUGAUCGGCCACAUUGGAACUGAGACACGGUCCAAACUCCUACGGGAGGCAGCAGUGGGGAAUAUUGCACAAUGGGCGAAAGCCUGAUGCAGCAACGCCGCGUGAGCGAUGAAGGCCUUCGGGUCGUAAAGCUCUGUCCUCAAGGAAGAUAAUGACGGUACUUGAGGAGGAAGCCCCGGCUAACUACGUGCCAGCAGCCGCCGUAA
Molecule: ribosomal RNA, 474 nt
Filed under: uncultured bacterium
Lineage: Bacteria
Description: partial 16S ribosomal RNA
Rfam family: Bacterial small subunit ribosomal RNA
Source: RNAcentral